UUCCUACGGGGGGCAGCAGUGAGGAAUAUUGGUCAAUGGGCGGGAGCCUGAACCAGCCAAGUCGCGUGAGGGACGACGGUCCUAUGGAUUGUAAACCUCUUUUGUCGGGGAACAAAGGCGCCCACGGGUGGGCGGAUGAGUGUACCCGAAGAAAAAGCAUCGGCUAACUCCGUGCCAGCAGCCGCGGUAAUACGGAGGAUGCGAGCGAUAUCCCGAUUUAUUGGGUUUAAAGUGGGCGUAGGCGCACAGUCAUGUCAUCGGUAAAUACGCGGUGC
This 275-nucleotide ribosomal RNA is filed under the name uncultured bacterium. RNAcentral's name for it is "partial 16S ribosomal RNA". It matches the Rfam family "Bacterial small subunit ribosomal RNA", at positions 336 to 608 of the family's 1533-position model. The record is from RNAcentral.